GAUGAAGAACGUAGCGAAGUGCGAUAAGUAAUGUGAAUUGCAGAAUUCAGUGAAUCAUCGAAUCUUUGAACGCACAUUGCGCCCGCCAGUAUUCUGGCGGGCAUGCCUGUUCGAGCGUCAUUACAACCCUCAGGCCCCCGGGCCUGGCGUUGGGGAUCGGCGGAAGCCCCCUGUGGGCACAACGCCGUCCCCCAAAUACAGUGGCGGUCCCGCCGCAGCUUCCAUUGCGUAGUAGCUAACACCUCGCAACUGGAGAGCGGCGCGGCCACGCCGUAAAACACCCAACUUCUGAAUGUUGACCUCGAAUCAGGUAGGAAUACCCGCUGAACUUAAGCAUAUCAAUAAGCGGAGGA
Molecule: unclassified non-coding RNA, 353 nt
Filed under: soil metagenome
Description: partial contains 5.8S ribosomal RNA, internal transcribed spacer 2, and large subunit ribosomal RNA
Rfam family: 5.8S ribosomal RNA (bases 1-120)
Source: RNAcentral